ACUAAGCGUACACGGUGGAUGCCCUGGCAGUCAGAGGCGAUGAAGGACGUGCUAAUCUGCGAUAAGCGUCGGUAAGGUGAUAUGAACCGUUAUAACCGGCGAUUUCCGAAUGGGGAAACCCAGUGUGUUUCGACACACUAUCAUUAACUGAAUCCAUAGGUUAAUGAGGCGAACCGGGGGAACUGAAACAUCUAAGUACCCCGAGGAAAAGAAAUCAACCGAGAUUCCCCCAGUAGCGGCGAGCGAACGGGGAGCAGCCCAGAGCCUGAAUCAGUGUGUGUGUUAGUGGAAGCGUCUGGAAAGGCGCGCGAUACAGGGUGACAGCCCCGUACACAAAAAUGCACAUGCUGUGAGCUCGAUGAGUAGGGCGGGACACGUGGUAUCCUGUCUGAAUAUGGGGGGACCAUCCUCCAAGGCUAAAUACUCCUGACUGACCGAUAGUGAACCAGUACCGUGAGGGAAAGGCGAAAAGAACCCCGGCGAGGGGAGUGAAAAAGAACCUGAAACCGUGUACGUACAAGCAGUGGGAGCACGCUUAGGCGUGUGACUGCGUACCUUUUGUAUAAUGGGUCAGCGACUUAUAUUCUGUAGCAAGGUUAACCGAAUAGGGGAGCCGAAGGGAAACCGAGUCUUAACUGGGCGUUAAGUUGCAGGGUAUAGACCCGAAACCCGGUGAUCUAGCCAUGGGCAGGUUGAAGGUUGGGUAACACUAACUGGAGGACCGAACCGACUAAUGUUGAAAAAUUAGCGGAUGACUUGUGGCUGGGGGUGAAAGGCCAAUCAAACCGGGAGAUAGCUGGUUCUCCCCGAAAGCUAUUUAGGUAGCGCCUCGUGAAUUCAUCUCCGGGGGUAGAGCACUGUUUCGGCAAGGGGGUCAUCCCGACUUACCAACCCGAUGCAAACUGCGAAUACCGGAGAAUGUUAUCACGGGAGACACACGGCGGGUGCUAACGUCCGUCGUGAAGAGGGAAACAACCCAGACCGCCAGCUAAGGUCCCAAAGUCAUGGUUAAGUGGGAAACGAUGUGGGAAGGCCCAGACAGCCAGGAUGUUGGCUUAGAAGCAGCCAUCAUUUAAAGAAAGCGUAAUAGCUCACUGGUCGAGUCGGCCUGCGCGGAAGAUGUAACGGGGCUAAACCAUGCACCGAAGCUGCGGCAGCGACGCUUAUGCGUUGUUGGGUAGGGGAGCGUUCUGUAAGCCUGCGAAGGUGUGCUGUGAGGCAUGCUGGAGGUAUCAGAAGUGCGAAUGCUGACAUAAGUAACGAUAAAGCGGGUGAAAAGCCCGCUCGCCGGAAGACCAAGGGUUCCUGUCCAACGUUAAUCGGGGCAGGGUGAGUCGACCCCUAAGGCGAGGCCGAAAGGCGUAGUCGAUGGGAAACAGGUUAAUAUUCCUGUACUUGGUGUUACUGCGAAGGGGGGACGGAGAAGGCUAUGUUGGCCGGGCGACGGUUGUCCCGGUUUAAGCGUGUAGGCUGGUUUUCCAGGCAAAUCCGGAAAAUCAAGGCUGAGGCGUGAUGACGAGGCACUACGGUGCUGAAGCAACAAAUGCCCUGCUUCCAGGAAAAGCCUCUAAGCAUCAGGUAACAUCAAAUCGUACCCCAAACCGACACAGGUGGUCAGGUAGAGAAUACCAAGGCGCUUGAGAGAACUCGGGUGAAGGAACUAGGCAAAAUGGUGCCGUAACUUCGGGAGAAGGCACGCUGAUAUGUAGGUGAAGCGACUUGCUCGUGGAGCUGAAAUCAGUCGAAGAUACCAGCUGGCUGCAACUGUUUAUUAAAAACACAGCACUGUGCAAACACGAAAGUGGACGUAUACGGUGUGACGCCUGCCCGGUGCCGGAAGGUUAAUUGAUGGGGUUAGCCGCAAGGCGAAGCUCUUGAUCGAAGCCCCGGUAAACGGCGGCCGUAACUAUAACGGUCCUAAGGUAGCGAAAUUCCUUGUCGGGUAAGUUCCGACCUGCACGAAUGGCGUAAUGAUGGCCAGGCUGUCUCCACCCGAGACUCAGUGAAAUUGAACUCGCUGUGAAGAUGCAGUGUACCCGCGGCAAGACGGAAAGACCCCGUGAACCUUUACUAUAGCUUGACACUGAACAUUGAGCCUUGAUGUGUAGGAUAGGUGGGAGGCUUUGAAGUGUGGACGCCAGUCUGCAUGGAGCCGACCUUGAAAUACCACCCUUUAAUGUUUGAUGUUCUAACGUUGACCCGUAAUCCGGGUUGCGGACAGUGUCUGGUGGGUAGUUUGACUGGGGCGGUCUCCUCCUAAAGAGUAACGGAGGAGCACGAAGGUUGGCUAAUCCUGGUCGGACAUCAGGAGGUUAGUGCAAUGGCAUAAGCCAGCUUGACUGCGAGCGUGACGGCGCGAGCAGGUGCGAAAGCAGGUCAUAGUGAUCCGGUGGUUCUGAAUGGAAGGGCCAUCGCUCAACGGAUAAAAGGUACUCCGGGGAUAACAGGCUGAUACCGCCCAAGAGUUCAUAUCGACGGCGGUGUUUGGCACCUCGAUGUCGGCUCAUCACAUCCUGGGGCUGAAGUAGGUCCCAAGGGUAUGGCUGUUCGCCAUUUAAAGUGGUACGCGAGCUGGGUUUAGAACGUCGUGAGACAGUUCGGUCCCUAUCUGCCGUGGGCGCUGGAGAACUGAGGGGGGCUGCUCCUAGUACGAGAGGACCGGAGUGGACGCAUCACUGGUGUUCGGGUUGUCAUGCCAAUGGCACUGCCCGGUAGCUAAAUGCGGAAGAGAUAAGUGCUGAAAGCAUCUAAGCACGAAACUUGCCCCGAGAUGAGUUCUCCCUGACUCCUUGAGAGUCCUGAAGGAACGUUGAAGACGACGACGUUGAUAGGCCGGGUGUGUAAGCGCAGCGAUGCGUUGAGCUAACCGGUACUAAUGAACCGUGAGGCUUAACC
RNAcentral lists this ribosomal RNA (2895 nucleotides) under Escherichia coli. RNAcentral describes it as "bacterial LSU rRNA". It matches the Rfam family "Bacterial large subunit ribosomal RNA". Lineage: Bacteria; Pseudomonadati; Pseudomonadota; Gammaproteobacteria; Enterobacterales; Enterobacteriaceae. The record is from RNAcentral.